CCUGCCUGAGCAGUGGGUUGGACUAGAAGACCUCCAAGGUCCCUUCCAACUAUUCUAUUCUAUUCUAUUCUAUUCUAUUCUAUUUACUCUACUCUUAACCUGAUUUCAACCCCAAUUUUCAGACAGAGGAAUAUACAGAUCUGGGAAACCAUUGCUAAACAUAAAAAUGGCUGAAAACAUAGAUACCACUAAAUGUAUGGGCUGGGAGGGUUUCUAAAGACCAUCCAGUCUAACCCUUUCAAUGAUGGCACCCACUACUAAGUCAUCCUUAAAACAGGACCUCCAGCCAUUUAAACACCAUACUUGCAUCUUCUGCUAUUAUUACCCUUGAAGGCAAAGUAGGACAAUUUGCAGUGUGCAUCCCCAAACAUUUUUAAUAAAAAAUAUCUUAUUUGCAGAAAUCCUCCUGACUGUUGGGCGGGCCCCAAGUCAGCUUCCAGUCAGCUUUAUCUACCCAUCGCUGGGCAGCAUGGCAGCACCGGCUCUGUGAGUUAAGGCCUUUCCGGGGGAGGACACCGGAGGGCCAGUGAGCCAAGCGAGCCCGGCCAGCUCCCCCUCGGUGGCGUUUCUGACAGCCAGUCUCCUCAGGGAACGAAGGCGGGCCCUCUCCCACCCUUCCUGUUCUCCUGUCCCGGUCUCUGGCAGAACCCCACCAAGAGCUCUGCUCAGAACUAAGAACAAACCAUCUGAGGCAAUUUCAAAUUAAAAGCUUGUAAAUGCAUAACCUCUCCUAGAUUUUGCAAUUAAUAGGGUACGUCUGCAAUUAUCCUGACUCGGAGAAGCGGCUGCAACAUUGUCAUUAAAGGAUGUUCUGCGAAAGCACUGCUGUUCUCACAGAGAGGCUCAGGAGAGCAAACCCUCCUAGAGGGCAAUCAGUGCGCAGGUAGAAAACAACAGUCAUAAAUCACACUGUCAGCAGCGCCAGGCGGGCAGGCGGUGGAGAGAAGGGGAGCAGCCACACCGGCCGGGGAAGGCCGCUCACGGCAGGCGCAGCAUAGCAGAGCCCCACAGCUCGGGUUUUACCCAAGCUGUAAUUAAUUAAAAUUUCCUUCAAGCCAAAACUUUAUUAAACAAGGAGUUGUGCUGACAAUGAAGGAAAACACGGGGAGGCCAUUCAUCACGGCCACUUCUCCACUUCAGCUUAAGGUGAUGUAAAAUUCGCUUUUAAAUACUGAAAAGGAAGAGGCUCCAGGGGGUUCACGGGGGAAGGGGGGGCUAUCCAAGGCCUUCCCGGCCUGUGUUUCCCCCUUUCAGCCUCUCCUUUCAGGGGGGCUCAAUUCUGCCAAGUUAAUUUCUUUAUUCCACACCGUUCCACAACUGGGUGCCCAUCAGAAAUACGCACCUUGGGAGGGAAGGGAGGCCCCGCCAAGGAAAAGGGGAGAAAGGCCCGGCUGGACCCCCCUCCUGCCAAAACCUUCGGUGUCCUUCACACUGCUUAGAAAGAGCCUGGGGGGGGGGGGAUGGCCUGGCUGAGCCUUUGCUGAGCUGGUAGACUUGCAGGCACACAUUUCACAGGACGGCUGGAGGGGCGGGAACACCUGGGCCCUGGCCUGGCUGGCGGAAUGGAGCAUUUCAGGGUUCAGCCUCUGUGCAGGUUCCGCAUGAAACGGGCGGUCCUUGAGUUACGACUGUACGUGAGUCCGGCAUUAAGGUCAUAAAGUCAUGGCGGUUGUUAAGAGGCUGUGACCACAUCACCCUGCCUGAUUUUAGGACCUUUUUCCAGCAAUUGUUAAUUGGAUGUGGCGGUUGUUAAACAAACACCUUAUAAACUAUGAUUGUUGUUGGGUUUUUUCUGUUUGUUUUUUGUUUUUUGCCAGAAACCAGCAAAAGAAAAUACCAGCAAAAGAAACCAGCAAAAGACCUGGUGGAAAUCGGGGUCGCAUGGCCAUGAGAAGCUGCAAAGGCUUGUAAAUGUGGGCCCACUGCCAAGCACCCCAAAUGCAAUUGUGUGACUGCAGUGUGUGUGUGUGUGUGUGUGUGUGGCCAUCAGCACCCUGGAACUGGUUUCUAAGUGUCUCUUAGGAGGUUCAUCAUAAGCGAUCGAUCAUUAAGUGAUGACUACCAUUAUAAUUCUGGCUAUUAUUAACGCACCGGAUGUGCAGGGAUCGAUGUCCAUACAUGCACCUAAAGCUAUAAGAGGCAUAAGAAAAUACUGCAGUAGAGGAAUAAUUUGGACGUCUGGACCUACAAAUAUCUAACAGGUGAUAAUCCCAGUUGAGAUACUCUGUACAUCUGCUUGACCAAUUGGGUUAAUUUUUUAAUAUUAUUACCUCGAUCUGUUUUAGUUUCAACACAACUUUUUAGAAGUUUUGUUGAACAUCUUGUUCUUGCAUUCCCUUCACAAAUGCCCUUUUUCGCCAGACAUCUCAAGGACGGCUUAAUAAGGGAGCUCCGCAAAUGCCUCCACCCAGGGAUUAUGGGAAAGUUACAAAGAGCGGCCAAAAGAGAGGGCCUCACUGACCAAGGCUUGAAGCAAAGGAGCCAAAGUCCGAGACUGUGGAAAGGCACUGCCCAACGACCCUGGCUUUUUGUGCAGCUUCUGAAGGCUGUGAAACUGACACCAAACAGUCAAGCGUCCUGACAAAGCCCCCUCUGGAGAAGUGACCAGGGAAGGAAGCGGGAGACUUGUAGAAGCUCUUUCUGAUAGCCUGACUUACACCCGGGCGGUGAGCUCUUCAAUACGGCCUGCCUCAUGGGACCCGGCACACGGCCAUCUGGGUCUUAAAGCAGCCCACGCGUAAAGCCAACCCCGCCUCCAGGUCAGAGGGCUGUGACUGUACACACUCCCCCUUUGGAAAAAGAAGAAACCGCUAAAUGACUGCUUAUGGGUAAUAUGCACAAGCAGCCUUCACGAAUAAUGAUACAAUAUUUGAAAUAAAUGAGAACUGCUCCUAUAUGGGACUACGUAAUAAAGGCAAGGAGAGCUUGGAAGGCUGAAGUCACAGAAUAAUGAAAAAGCAGACCGCAGCUGCCUAGUCAGGUCUUGGAACAGACACGUUUAAGUACGGCACGCACUUACCAGGAAGACUUUUUCCUAGGCACAUCCAAUGAUAAUCUCAAAGAUACUGUUUGUGGCCCACAACUGCAGCUUCCUUGCCGAGCCCUCCAUCCUCCCUGCAACACAUCUGAACUGGAUUCCUUUUCUGUAGCAGCAGCAUCAAUACCGUAGAAGAGCUUCCCUCUAGAGAUUAAGUUCAAUCCCUCUUUCUUAUUUUUUUGGGAAACCAUGAAGACCAAAAUGUUUCAGACGGCCUUCUCCUGAUUUGAGGUUUGCUAUCUUAAUCUUCAAUGUUUUUACUGUUUAUUGCCAAUGUAAUCAACGCAGCACCUGCUGACUUUGCAUUGGUAUCCUUUGGUUUCCUCAGUCAUCAAUCAGGUGUCGUGUCCCCCUGGCCUUUUCCAAAGCCAGCUUGAACCCGACCCAGGGGUGGGCAACUACGGCGACUUCAACUCCCAGAAUUCCUCAGCCCCCAGUGGAGUUUAUCUUGUCACAAGGCAAGAAACUGGGCUAGUAAAGCACAGAAAACUUCUUUGGGCAACUAUCUACAGAAGUUGGCUGGUCUGCAGUGCCCAGUGCACGCUAUACGUUCCCUCCCCCCCCCCGGGAAAUCCUCUUCCAUGAAUUAUUAAUGCCAGUGUCUCUCGUGGCGCCCGCCCUUCGUCCUUCAGGAGGACGGAAACGGGGGAGAGGAGGGGCAGGAGGACACCAGCAGCACGGGACCGAUCAGCAACAAACCUGAUCUAGAAGGCUCCUUAUUAUUACUCAUUUGAUUUUACGUUCAAAUUUCUGCCUAGAGAACAAACACAUUUCUGCUUCGAGGCCCGGCUACUAAAAAAACCAAACUGUUAAGCUGAUAAAAAGUUAAAAUCCCUAAUCCAACCUGAAAAGUCCUGGCUAAUCACGAAGGCCCGGUUUCCUUCCCUAGAGGCAGAAAGAGCUGGGCCAAGACCAGCCUGCGAGGAAGGGGGGCCACUCCCAGGAAUUUCCUAGCGCCACCCAUCUCGCAAGCAGGCCGUCAGUUCUACAGGAAUUUGACACUAUAUUUUGCAUUCGUUCAAGCUGGCAUUAUCAAAUAUAUUCUACCUUCUCACCUGGAGCAUGCCUAACUACACGCAUCAAUAUCAUAAACACAGAGCCGCUCUUUACAUGUAAAACUGCAAUAUGACUUCCAAAGGGGUUACAACCAGGCGAAGAGUCCAUAGGAUGUAAACUAUUAAUGUGGCCAGCAAUCCGUGGGCAUUAUUGGCCCUUAGUAUCUGGUGAGGCUCAGCUACAAAACGAAGCAUCAAUGCCUGGAAUUCAUUAAGAGUGUUACAUGUUUAAUUUUUCCUGCCCUCCAGCUCCACUGUCUCAUAAAAAAAAUGCUUUGACGUUCCCCAGUAAGAAUUAAAGAAAUAUUGUAAUUGAAAUAUCAUUAAUAAUGAAUGUGUUUCUUCUCUAUGGCAAUACAUCCAAUGAAAUAUUAAUGGGGUUUCACAGACUGACGGUCUGGAGAAAGA
Molecule: long non-coding RNA, 4500 nt
Organism: Crotalus tigris (Tiger rattlesnake)
Lineage: Eukaryota; Metazoa; Chordata; Lepidosauria; Squamata; Viperidae
Exons: 3
Source: RefSeq, a predicted model, not a curated record